GAUGAACGCUAGCGACAGGCCUAACACAUGCAAGUCAGGGGCAGCACAAGGUAGCAAUACUUGGGUGGCGACCGGCGGACGGGUGAGUAACACGUAUGCAACCUGCCCGUAAUCGGGGGAUAACCCGGAGAAAUUCGGACUAAAACUCCAUGAAUCUGAGAUAUCGCAUGAUAAAACAGAAAAACGCAAGGAUUACGGAUGGGCAUGCGGAUGAUUAGCUAGUUGGAGGGGUAACGGCCCGCCAAGGCGACGAUCAUUAGGGGUUCUGAGAGGAAGGUCCCCCACAUUGGAACUGAGAGACGGUCCAAACUCCUACGGGAGGCAGCAGUGAGGAAUAUUGGUCAAUGGGCGAGAGCCUGAACCAGCCAAGUCGCGUGAAGGAAGAAGGUCUUAUGGAUUGUAAACUUCUUUAGCAGAGGGAUAAAGGUUAUUACGAGAUAAUAAUUUGCAGGUACUCUGCGAAAAAGGAUCGGCUAACUCCGUG
RNAcentral lists this ribosomal RNA (484 nucleotides) under uncultured bacterium. RNAcentral describes it as "bacterial SSU rRNA". It matches the Rfam family "Bacterial small subunit ribosomal RNA", at positions 28 to 507 of the family's 1533-position model. The record is from RNAcentral.